GCUUAUUUUCGGCACCCCGAGGCCCCUCGCAAAGUCUCACCCCAUUCCGAGUCCGGCGGACGAACUUCGCCCGCGCCCCCCACCAAGGCUAUAGCCCACCCGUUUUUUGGCCAUUUUUCCGCUGGGGGGUUUUGGCACCACGACCUUCGGGCGCUUAUUUUUGGGCGCGGCUUUGUCCGCGGAUUAUUUUUGGCACCCCGAGGCCCCUCGCAAAGUCUCGCCCCAUUCCGAGUCCGGCGGACGAACUUCGCCCGCGCCCCCCACCAAGGCUAUAGCCCACGACCCGUUUUUUGGCCAUUUUUCCGCUGGGGUGUUUUGACACCACGACCUUCGGGCGCUUAUUUUUGGCCGCGGCUUUGCCCGCGGCUUAUUUUUGGCACCCCGAGGCCCCUCGCAAAGUCUCGCCCCAUUCCGAGUCCGGCGGACGAACUUCUCCCCGCGCCCCCCGCCAAGGCUAUAGCCCACGACCUGUUUUUUGGCCAUUUUUCCACUGGGGGGUUUUGGCACCACGACCUUCGGGCGCUUAUUUUUUGGCGCUGCUUUGCCCGCGGCUUAUUUUUUGCACCCCGAGGCCCCUCGCAAAGUCUCGCCCCAUUCCGAGUCCGGCGGACGAACUUCGCCCGCGCCCCCCACCAAGGCUAUAGCCCACGACCCGUUUUUUGGCCUUUUUUCCGCUGGGGGGUUUUGGCACCACGGCCUUCGGGCGCUUAUUUUUGGGCGCGGCUUUGCCCGCGGCUUAUUUUUGUCACCCCGAGGCCCCUCGCAAAGUCUCGCCCCAUU
Molecule: long non-coding RNA, 780 nt
Filed under: Citrus x clementina
Lineage: Eukaryota; Viridiplantae; Streptophyta; Magnoliopsida; Sapindales; Rutaceae
Description: Citrus clementina (C. clementina) long non-coding RNA (CCLE_LNC002204)
Source: RNAcentral